AGUGAACGCUGGCGGUAGGCCUAACACAUGCAAGUCGAACGGCAGCACAGUAAGAGCUUGCUCUUACGGGUGGCGAGUGGCGGACGGGUGAGGAAUACAUCGGAAUCUACUUUUUCGUGGGGGAUAACGUAGGGAAACUUACGCUAAUACCGCAUACGACCUACGGGUGAAAGCAGGGGAUCUUCGGACCUUGCGCGAUUGAAUGAGCCGAUGUCGGAUUAGCUAGUUGGCGGGGUAAAGGCCCACCAAGGCGACGAUCCGUAGCUGGUCUGAGAGGAUGAUCAGCCACACUGGAACUGAGACACGGACAAUACUCCUACGGGAGGCAGCAGUGGGGAAUAUUGGACAAUGGGCGCAAGCCUGAUCCAGCCAUACCGCGUGGGUGAAGAAGGCCUUCGGGUUGUAAAGCCCUUUUGUUGGGAAAGAAAAGCAGCAGGUUAAUACCCCGCUGUUCUGACGGUACCCAAAGAAUAAGCACCGGCUAACUUCGUG
RNAcentral lists this ribosomal RNA (492 nucleotides) under uncultured bacterium. RNAcentral describes it as "partial 16S ribosomal RNA". It matches the Rfam family "Bacterial small subunit ribosomal RNA", at positions 29 to 507 of the family's 1533-position model. The record is from RNAcentral.